GGUCUGGUGGUCUAGUGGUAUGAUUCUCGCUUAGGGUCACACCCUUGAGCUCAGCUUGCGAGAGGUCCCGGGUUCAAUCCCCGGCCAGACCC
Molecule: non-coding RNA, 92 nt
Organism: Hirsutella rhossiliensis
Lineage: Eukaryota; Fungi; Ascomycota; Sordariomycetes; Hypocreales; Ophiocordycipitaceae
Source: the annotation of a RefSeq genome assembly